This 120-nucleotide ribosomal RNA is filed under the name Medicago truncatula (barrel medic). The record is from RNAcentral. Lineage: Eukaryota; Viridiplantae; Streptophyta; Magnoliopsida; Fabales; Fabaceae.
AGGCGCAAUCAUACCAGCACUAAUGCACCGGAUCCCAUCAGAACGCCGCAGUUAAGCGUGUUUGGGCGAGAGUAGUACUAGGAUGGAUGAUCUCCUGGGUAGUCCUUGUGCUGAACCUCU